RNAcentral lists this ribosomal RNA (860 nucleotides) under Sclerococcum glaucomarioides. RNAcentral's name for it is "partial large subunit ribosomal RNA". It matches the Rfam family "Eukaryotic large subunit ribosomal RNA", at positions 77 to 952 of the family's 3401-position model. The record is from RNAcentral. Lineage: Eukaryota; Fungi; Ascomycota; Eurotiomycetes; Sclerococcales; Dactylosporaceae.
GCCUCAGUAACGGCGAGUGAAGCGGCAACAGCUCAAAUUUGAAAUCUGGCCCUGGGGCCCGAGUUGUAAUUUGCAGAGGGUGUUUCGGGUGCGGCGUCGGCCUAAGUUCCUUGGAACAGGGCGUCACAGAGGGUGAGAAUCCCGUACGUGGCCGGCGAUCAAGCCCGUGUGAAACCCCUUCGACGAGUCGAGUUGUUUGGGAAUGCAGCUCAAAGCGGGUGGUAAAUUCCAUCUAAAGCUAAAUACCGGCCAGAGACCGAUAGCGCACAAGUAGAGUGAUCGAAAGAUGAAAAGCACUUUGGAAAGAGAGUCAAACAGUACGUGAAAUUGUUGAAAGGGAAGCGCUUGCGACCAGACUCGCCCGCGGCGCGAUCAGCCUUUCCCUUUGGGGGGGUGCACUCGCCUGCGGUCGGGCCAGCAUCGGUUUCGGCGGCCGGACACAGGCCCCGGGAAUGUGGCUCCCUCCGGGGAGUGUUAUAGCCCGGGGUGCAAUGCGGCCAGCCGGGACCGAGGACCGCGCUUCGGCUAGGAUGCUGGCGUAAUGGUCGUAAGCGACCCGUCUUGAAACACGGACCAAGGAGUCUAACAUCCAUGCGAGUGUUUGGGUGUCAAACCCAUGCGCGGAAUGAAAGUGAACGGAGGUGAGAACCCCGUCUCGGGGCGCAUCAUCGACCGAUCCUGAUGUCUUCGGAUGGAUUUGAGUAGGAGCAUGGCUGUUGGGACCCGAAAGAUGGUGAACUAUGCCUGAAUAGGGUGAAGCCAGAGGAAACUCUGGUGGAGGCUCGCAGCGGUUCUGACGUGCAAAUCGAUCGUCAAAUUUGGGUAUAGGGGCGAAAGACUAAUCGAACCAUCUAGUAGCU